This is a non-coding RNA of Phascolarctos cinereus (koala), 1154 nucleotides long. NCBI's taxonomy places the organism in Eukaryota, Metazoa, Chordata, Mammalia, Diprotodontia, Phascolarctidae. The record is from RefSeq and is a predicted model, not a curated record.
GGUGGUCUGUAGUUUAUUCUGAUGACAAAAAUGCCUGGAACAUGGUGAUUUGUUGUUGGGUCUUCAUUCUCCAAGAGCACCAAGGACAUCACCAGGGUGACGUCUGGACUUGCAUGUGAAUUGGAUGCGUGAGGCCGAGCUGCAGGUUGUCAGCCUCGCUGCCUCCUCCAGAGUCCUCAGAGUCCAGUGGCGAGACACAGGGAUUUUCCUAGUGCGAAGGUCUGAAACUAUAUCACGGGCUGCUUUUGCAACUGACCUGCCCAAGCCGAUGAUCUGGUUUUGAAGACCUGCUGUACUCACAGGUAAGGGCUGGACUGAUGCUUCAAUCUUAUGGUAUUUGGUGUUUUUAGAAACAACCCCCUAGUAAAACAAACUUUGCUUUAGCACCAUAUGGCCACUGGGUACAAGGGGAGAGCCGAAUAGCUCUCACUGUCCUGAGGUUCUUCUUUUGGCAGAGGGGACCCCAGACUCAAACCCAGGGAAGGAGGUGGAGUCCAGUCCUCUGAGACGCCUGAGGUUUCGGCUCUUGGCCUGGUCUCCCUCAAGGCUGGCUUUGGGAAUAAAGCCCUGAUCUGGAGCCCUGGGGGAUCUUCCUGGGGCUCUGUCUGGGAACUGUCUCCUUCUCCCUUCAGCCUGGAAAGUAGAAAUCCCACCACGGGAGGGUUCCACCGUGCCUUUUCCUGGCCCAGCGUCAGAGUGAUUUGCCUGCCUCUUCCCUCAUUUGCUCUCAGAUUCACCAUGUAUUUACCGGGAGGCCAAGGGAAACUUGGGAAUGCUUUUACCAUUUUGCUAUGGGAAGGCCUCAUUCUGAAAGGCUUCCAGUGUGACCCCAUCACAGUAAGAAGUCAUAUUUCUUUGACGUGAGCACCCAGAGGAAAUGCCCCCUCUCUGGUUAUGGCCAAACAUGGAAAGCCUAGAUGGUAAUAUCUGGGUGCAUUCAGCAAGAGGGCGGCUCCCCGGCAGGCCAUUCGUUCACCCACCCCUCCUGCCCCCUGGGGCCCUGGGCUGGCCAUCUCUGCUUUGGAGAGAUUUCUGGUCUCAGGCCAUGGUGACUCUCAAUCCAGUCUCCCCAACGCACCAGCCAGGUAGGGAAGCUCCAGGUGUACCUGGGGCUUGGGAGGCUUCAUAAGCUUGCUCUGGAGUUUUACUUUUUU